This is a long non-coding RNA of Saimiri boliviensis boliviensis (Bolivian squirrel monkey), 1343 nucleotides long. RefSeq lists it as uncharacterized. NCBI's taxonomy places the organism in Eukaryota, Metazoa, Chordata, Mammalia, Primates, Cebidae. The record is from RefSeq and is a predicted model, not a curated record.
CGAGAGCGGGGGGCGCGGCGGCUCGGGCGGGCGCGGCAGGGAGGCUUGACCCUCACGGGCCGCCGUAAGCGCUAUAAAAGGCGCGGCGCGCCCUCCCUUGAUCUCUGCGCGCGCCGGCCUCGGCCAUGGCGGGUGCCUUCCUCGCCUCCUUCUCCCGGGCGCUUCCCAGCCCGCUCCCCGGCUACCGCCCUGCAACCCCGCUCUCCCGGGCGCGGCGCGGUCUGAGGGCCUCCGCUGCCGGGUGGGGGCUCCAGGUGCGAGGCGGGGUCGGGCGCUGACCCGGGGCGUCCUGGCCGCGUGAGCCGCGGGAUGCGGGCCCGGGCUGUGUCCCUCCCCGCGCCGUUUCCAGCCGGGAAGCUUCGGGAAGCCUGGUGAGAGCCGAGUGCGCGAAUUCGGACCUGAGAAGAAAGCGCCCCGCUCUCCCGUGCCCCUUCCGCCCCUGCUGCUGCGUCCCCGAGUCGCGGAGGCUUUGGGGACGUCACCUCGUGUGUCGGCAUCUUCGAGAAAUGGGUUUCUCGUGCUGUGUCCACGCGUCGGCUGUUUCCGUGCGACUGGCCGCCCAGCGGGAGGAGUCCGGUGACUGCCGGACCAAAGACUUACAGGACAGGACAUCUGCUCACUGGAAACACAUGUUCGAGGUGCCCUGCCAUGUUGGGAAGGAGGUGACUUAGCCUGUGAUGGACUUCCAGUGUGAGCAGUUGCCAGAAUGAUGACGCCAGCCGGCCCCAGCCCGGAUCAAGGUCAUUCGGUGAAUCCAGGUUAAAGAAACCCGGUUUGCAGCACUGUGCAGAGGCCAGGAUGUGGGCGCAGCCGUGCCAGGAGGCUGGCUGGAAUGGAGGUAAAGGCCUCGCUCCCUCUGGGACCACCGGCACCCGGGUGUUUGCAGCCUCAGAGCCCAGCUUUCACACGCCCCCCUGCCCCCAGGGCCACAGUUGCAGCUCUUGCUCUGCGUUCAUUCCUGGGAAGGGCAGGCUGGGAUCGGACGCCCGCCGCCUCUGCCUGGGUAGUGGUGUGUGUUCCAGCUGGCCGGGGCAGCUGCCGGGACCACCCCCCCAUUUUAGUAUCCCGAUUCUUAAGUUCUGCCAUUGUGGUAUUCUGGUGGAAAAAAAGAACCAUCUGGUUAUUUUUGAACCACCUGGAAUCUGAGAUCCUCAGUUAUUUUUUUUACUGUAUUUGAGUCAUCUUGUUUUUGUUGCUUUUCCCCCAAGGGGGAAAAAUCUAUAUGGAAAACAUUGAGUUUAAAUUACAGGAUGAAGUGAAUUAAAGAUUUAAUGCACAUUUCUUCAAGGGUAAUAUUUCUGUGUUGGCAAAAUUUGAGAAUAAAAGGGGCUGGGACGGAAUGG